AAAAAAAAAAAUUUUUUUUUUUUUUUUUUAAAGGGGGAAAUCAUUUAAUCACUCUGUAAUGAUCAGGGUGGUGUGAUGGUCUGAAGGGAGGUCUCUGGUUUCUCUCUCCAAAAGGACUUUGACUUCUCUGGGGCAUUCAAGCCCCAGCUUGCCUUACUUUAACAGCCAGACACCCAGUCCCAGUUCUCCUUGGCUUAUGGUGUCAAUUACCACCCUCCUAGAUUUUUUUGUAUUUUUUUUAACCAGCUGCUUGCAGCUUAACAAUCUACCCAAGUAUCAUCAAAAAAUUCUCCUUGACUCCCUUUUCUCUGUGUCCUGUGUACCAUAGCUUUUACCAUUUUACCAUCGAAACAUUUCCCAAAAAGUAAUCGUGGAAUGCUAGUUGCAAACAUAAUUCAUAGGAAAUACUGGCUAUUUCUCUAGUCAAAUAAGUUUACCCUCUUUCUAUUGGAGUUUCAAAAUCAAUUUCAAAUAAGACACUUUGGAAAAUAAUACUUUAAACCAAUCCCUCUAAUUCUCCAGUACCAAGGCACCGAAGUCAGUAUAGUUUGUGUGUGGUGUGAACAUACUUUAAAAUAUUAAAUUAUAUUUCUCACUAGAGCUUCCUCUAUGUCUCCUUAAAAAAAAAAAAAAACCCUUGUGUAAGUUUACUUACAAGGGUUUAUGUUUUCAGAAAGCAACCUCUUCAUCAAAAGAGAUAUUAAUAUUUUACUUAAUUAUUAUUUGAGCUCAAUACUGAGUAGACCCCAUACCAAGUGGGUUUUGUUCAAUUGUUUUUCUAUAAUUGAACCAAAAACAUAAUUCUUAAAAUUAAUGACCGAAAAACACUUUUUAAAGUGAGACGAUUGUUCUUCUAGUAUGUUGAAAAUGAUAAUAAACUCUUCCAAGGUGAGCUACUGCAGUUGUCAUUUCCUAGGCCUUCUUCCAGAGUUAUUUACCUGACAUUGGCUCUUCAUAUAAUUGUACCAAUAAAUAUGGGUACAUAAAGUCAAUAUUUUACAAGUACUUUUAAGUAUAGAUUAUAACAUAAUUGCUAAAUCAGGUCUUUCCAAGAAUGCCAUAGUUUUACAGAGUUUAAAUCAUACUGUAUAUAUAGUCUUGUCUGCCAUGGCCUCUCCUUUAGGUUAUUCAAUUAACAAACAAAUGGAGUGUUGCUAGAAGAAAGGGAACAAAGAUCGUCUUCUUGUUUAAUGUAAAUAUUGGGUGCUGGAUAGCCUGUGAUUUAUUUGAAGUGAGAAAAUGGGCCUUGUUUUUUCAGACACUGUCACCAGUGACACAUAGGCCAAACAUAAAGGAGACUGUGUUGGCUUAGUUCUGGAAAUCUGGCGGGGCAAGGCCUCCUCUUUGGUGCUUUAUCAGUUCUUGGACAAGGACUGCAGGGUUAUGUUGAGUAACACAUUCACUAUCUCGGUCUUUUCUCCUCAUUAAGGAAAAAAAAUUCCACCAUAAUGCGAUCCAUGAUUAGAGUUAAUGCAGUCUCUAACAUCUCCCAGAUGUUUUAACAUCACUCACAUCACUUGCAGAGUUUGUAAAUGUGAUCUGUCUACUGGUUUAUUCUUUUGGGGAGCAAACAUUAUCUUUCUGCUUGGGAAAGAAAAAAAACUAAAUAGCUAAAGCAGAGACUCAAUGAGUUACUUAACAUAAUUUACAGUAUGUUUAGAAACAGUGCUAAAAUGCAGAGUAUGUAAUCAAUGGCACAUUCUCAUAAAAAAUGUAUUUGCACUCAGUAACAGAAAUGUGAUCAUGCCAAGAUGACCAGAUGUCUCUUCUUAAUGGUAUCCCUUUUUUCAUACUUUGCUUCAGUUCUGCUUUCAUAGCCAUAAAAUAUUUUCCUUUCCCAGUACGGGAAUAGAAAUAGUAUAAUUUCAACCUGGAAGAGCAUAUCCUUGUGGCACUGUGUUACUAGUUUAAUUUUCAAAAUUGUUGACUUUAUUAUGAUAGCUUUAGGAGCACUUUAUUUGUUUUAAGCUUCUUCAUUGUUUCAGGUUUUUUUUUUUUUUAUGGUACAGCUGGAACACCCCCCUUUUUUUUCCUUUUUAUUGCUCUAGGCAAUUAUUUAGGUAGUCAAUAUUCAAAUGUAGUGAACGUGGCUCAAACAGAAGGUCACCAGGGCUUGAAAUAUCUUUUUUUUUUUCUUCAUUGGGUUUUGAAUCAGAGCCUAGCAUUUGAAACCAUUGCUGUGUCCAUAUGUAGAUAUGCCUAAUGUGCCAGUUAUAUUUUUAGUGCCAUGUGUCAACCUUUUAAGUGUUUGUUUUUAAAUGUAGAUACUCUAGUCAUAUGGAGCCCUGGUGGCACAGUGGUAGAGUUCAGCUGCUAACCAAAAGUUCAGCAGUUGGAAUCCACCAGCUGCUCCUUGGAAACUCUGUGGGGCAGUUCUGCUCUGUCCUAUAGGGUCGCUAUGAGUUGGAAUAGACUCCACAGUAACGGGUUUGGUGUUUUUGGUUUAUAGUCAUACAGGUAGAAACUUCCUUAUUCACGAUUAAAACACAAAUGAACAACAAAAUCUAGAAGAAGUAACUUUCAAAGAGGUUUAAGAAUUAUAUUUGGAGGAAGCAGGAAUUUUCUGAGUUGGAUUUAAGGAAUAAGAUAAUAGGAUCUUGUAUUUGAAUAACAUUUUUUAAAAUAUUUUUAUCACUAUUAUCAAUAUAAAAAUUGUUCAUAUCUAGCUUUACAUUUUAACAAACAGUUGUCCUGUGUUGGUACAUUUAACUUUCAUAGUUAGUCUUUGAAGUAAGGAGAAAUAGGUAUUAUGCCCAAAUUAUGGAAGAGAAAACUGAUCAGGGAGGGACUAAGACCUAAACACAUCUUUCCACUUCUAUACUCUUUCAUUACUUCAACCUAUAAACCUCUGUCCUGGGGACUUGAGUUCUCUUUUCAUAGUGCUCUCCAUGUAUAUAUACCACGGUAAACACAGUAACUUGGCACUAACGGUAGGUCCUUUAGGGCACACAGGAAGUGUCAUUCCAAGAAGAGAUUUUAAAAUGCGUGGUUGAAAGGAAGCCUUCUGUUGCUUGGCUCUUCAAGAUGAUAAACACCAGAUGCAGACAUUGAUGUAACAAUGAUUAUCCAGGCUGAUGAGCAUGUUACUUUGAUUACAAGGGCAGUGGACUUAGAGGCAAUGCUUGGGAAGGAUUUGGAGCAGCGGGAGAUGUUGCAAACCCCUCACUCCCCCCACUCUAAAGGCUCUUGCUGCCCACUCUGACCAGGGCAGCUGAGCACUGGUUGUUCACUCACUCAUCCCCAGGCUUUCACCGCACAUUAAACCAAAGUCUUGGGAAACAAGACAUUUGGUCUUCAUAAUCUGAAAAAUCACCCUAAUUUCCAGCAGUUUCACUGAAGCAUAGGGCCAUGAGUGUUUUUAGUGUUCAGUAUAUAAUCAGUUCUCGGUGUAUUGUGACUGACUGAAUGAAGAUAUUCCAAACCAUAGAAUAUUCUGCCCCAGUCAGUACUCUUUCUGUUUGUCAAAUAUUUUGAACCUCCAGAUUACAAUUUGAGAAUAUUCUGUGCGGAGCCAUAUUUUGGGAUCAAUUCAAGAUACCAUAUUUAAGUCAAAUAUCAAAUAUGUGUCCAGUUUAAUUGUUUAUUUUUAUUAAAAUAAAGUGACUAUAACCGAAUGGAUCUAAGGAUUCAGCUUUAAAAUAUAGGAAAAUAGUAUUACUACAGUAUUGAAAAAAAGAUCAGGGAUUAUUUUGUUAAUCGUGAUGCGCAUUUUCCAGCCUGUGCACGCUCUUUAGACAGCCACACUUCACUUGACUGAAGUCACCGUGCAGCCCUAGAAUGGGAAAACGUGAUCUCUGUGAGUGAGAACUACCGAACUUGACAUUCGUUGUGGCAGAAUUGGCGUUUGUUUUAGGUACAAUUGCAUACCAUUAUAUCAUAUUAAAUCCUAUUAGAUGUGUCGUGUUGGUGUCUUUUCCUUUAGAUCUGUGUUCAACAUCUGUUGACUACUGACUAUGCCUAAGAGAUGAUUAUAGCUAUUUAGCUGUAUUAUUCUUUCAUUAUUUACUUGUUUCUCUAUUAUGAAGAAAAAAAUUCAGAUGCUUUCAGUUAUUUAUUUUACUCCACUAGCAAACAUUUAGGCUUAUUCUGGUAAACCUAAGAUGUUAAGUACAAAUACUUUAUUCUAAAGGGCAAGCUAUUGAAUACUCUUUAAGAAUUCUGUUACUGGAAUUCCAUUCUGUCAGUAUCACCUACUAGCUGUUUAAAUUUGGACACGACCUUUAACAUUCUAAGCCCUAGUUUUCCCACCUGUAAAGUAGAGACAAUGGUACCUUACCCAUGGACUCUUAUUAAGAUUUAUUAAGAAGACAUAUUCAAAAGCAACAUGUCCUCUGAAUGUAGUACAAUUAGGACUUGAAUUACAGUUAGUAAAGUAAUUAUAUUUAUACCAAACCUGUUGCCAUCGAGUCAAUUACGACUCAUAGCAACACUAUAGGACAGAGUAGAACGGCCCCAUAGGGCUUACAAGGAGCAGCUGAUGGAUUUUGAACUGCUGGCCUUUGGUUAGCAGCUGUAGCUCUUAACCACUGCACCACCACAUAUAUUGCAUAAGAAUUGAGAAAUUCUUGAUUUUUUUUGAAUCAUUGUUCAUUUUCCAUUUUACUUAUGUAACCAAAUUAACUUCUUUCCAGUAAUCUACAUAUUAUAAAUAAUAUAUUUCUUCUAUAGAAAUUGAAGGAAUACCAUAAAAAACGUUAGAGCCCUAUGGUCUGUAUAUAAUUAAAAGCCAUACGAUCUUGCUUCAGAAACAAGUUAUUAGAUACAGUUAUCAUAGUCUAUUACAAAGAACAAGGGGAUCCUGCAUGGCUUAAAGUCAGGAAGACUAUGCGUCGGGGUUGUAUCCUUUCACCGUAUUUAUUCAAUCAGUAGCAAGCAAAUAAUCCGAGAAGCUGGACUAUAUGAGGAGGACUCAUUAACAACCUGCGAUAUGCAGAUGACACAACCUAGGGAAAUAUUACGGGGAAUGGCAGAACUGAUUAUUCAAAAAGCUGACUUGAGUAACAGGGAGUUAGCUAGUUUAGCAAACUUGAUAAUAAUUCUGCCGUACACCAUCUUCCCAGGGCAUGGGCUAGCACGUAUUUUAUAUAAUCCGAAAGUACUCAAGCAAUAUGCUUUCAAGUUCCAUAGAAGUUAGGUAAAGCAAUUUAUGAGUUCUAAAAUUAAAAUCCAGGUAUUACACAAAACAAAGAAAAUGUUCAAACAAGUUUAGACACAUUCAAGAGGCUUGUCAUGAUGUCUGAAAAUACAUGCGCCUCCAAGAAGAAUAUACAUAAGUUUGAAUUUCCAAACUCCCAGAAUAUUCAAAAGGAAUGUGCCAAGCUGUUCUAAAAUUGUUACAUUUGUGCCUCCCACCUCUGAAACUAUCUGAUAUAUUCAGCAAUAGAAAUAAAAUAAUUGAGGAGACGUACAGUGCAGUACUGCUUUCUUCUUGUGUCUUGAUAACGUGUAACAAGCUUAAACUUUCUGAGGAAAUCAAUAGGAAUUAAUAUAAAAAUUUCAGCAUAAUUUGUGUCGUAGUGAAAGAAAAGGAAAAGCAGUGCUGAUACUUAAUAAUGCUGGGAGGUCUUUACAUUUCUGAAAGACUUCAGCCUACAUUCUGAGAUGGUGUAACAGGAAGAGAGUUUAUGAGAGAAAAUUACCCCCUGACUCAGUGGGAUGAUAAUGUGUUUGUUUCUCUCACCAUUACCUUUUUAUCAGGUUAUGAAUGCAGGGACCACUUAGCACACCGGGCGUGUGUGUGCCUGGCAUUCUGAACUUUAAUCUGACUAAUGCCCCCAUUGCAAGAAUGUAAAUAGAUUACAAAGAAAAAUUCAAUAUUUUCUCCCUUCUCCCACCAGAGCAGCACGCAUUAGUUGUUUCCCGCCGUAUAAUUGCAUUACAUACCGUGAUGUGAUCCCUGGUUAAUGGCAGUCACAGUCAACUGUCACUUUGCUUUCAGCCUUGGUCAUUCAGUGUGAUUUACAUAUUUAACACCAUACCAAAGACUGGGUUCUUUCAAGCCACUUGUGGAGGCUCUAUGCUAACCUCUAUCAAGAAAAUAGUUGUACUCCCUUCUGCCCCCUCUCCCUCCCCAUGGGACACCUUUGCCAAAGGAAAAAAGCAUACACACACACACACACACACAGCAUCUCUAAGGUAAAUUAAUUUAUCACAGAUUUUUAUGCCCUUAAAAACACCGACUAUAUUACCGAGUCAACACUUCUGAGAAAUUUUUUUCUAUUUUCUCACGAAAUUAAUUUUUAUCUUAGCUUCCUAUAAAUUAACCUAAUUUUUACAAACUAAAACAAAAAUAAAAUGUGCUUUUACGUAGUAGGAGCAAAUACCUCAGCAUAUUUCCAUGAAUUUAGCACCAAAAAAAAUUGAAAAUCUAAUUUAUCAUAGUUGUUCAGCAAAACAAAUGAUAUCAUGUCGGGAAUUCUUCGAACCUCAUUGAAGCGAGAGAGGUGGUAAAUUUGAGAUUUUAUGCUUAUAUAUAAACAGAUAUAAAUUUAAAUGCACUUAAAUCCUUCAGUUAUUUGUAUGGAAGUUUCCUCCCUGUCAUAAAUUGAAUACCCAAGGAUGAUGAGAAUGAAAAGUGAAAUCCUCCAUUGCCUGAUCUUAUACAGGGACUCUUUUCAGAACCAUGCCUGCUUUCCCAGAGUACCUUAUUCUGGGGAAAGUGGAUUAGAAGAUUGGUAGCUUUGAGUGAGAAAUUCUCCUUGUUUAGUUGAAAAUAGCCCAUCCAAUUUCUCUGCCAGUAUUCUGAUUGUCUGUAAUGCAUUCUUCUACCAUCAUCAGCGUGUUUGUGUGUGUGAAAUGCAAAAGCAAUGAUUUUUUAAAAAUAUUUUUCAUGUGUUCCUUCAUCAGUGUCAAGCUUGAACCCCUACUUCAAAUCUUUAAAUGGUCCCUUAUUACCAACCAGGGAGUUUCUGGGUAGUGCAAAUUGUUAACACAGUCAGAUGCAAACCAAAGACUGGAGGUUCGAAUCCACCUAGAAGGACCUCGGAAGAAAGGCCUGGCAACCUACUUCCGAAAAUAUCAGCCAUUAAGAACCUCAUGGAGCACGGUUUUCUGACACACACGGAGUCCCUAUGAGUUGGAAUCUACCGGACAACAACUACUUAUAUUUGCAUGCACUUCAACAACAUGAUGCCCAGCAAUGGGUAUGUUUCUUCAUCUUCAUCUAGCAAGUAUUCUUCACUCAUCCGUCAAGUUUUAGCCAAAACAAGAUGACUUUGACAAAGCAACCUUCUUCCCUUACGUCUUCUACCAGACAGUGCCCAGGAUGCACCUCCUCGCUUCGCCUCCUUGGAAGAAAAUUUCUACCUCUUCACUUCCAUGGUCCUUGGCACGUAUUUCUAUUUUUAUCAAUUUUCCCAACUCAUGGUUCUGAAUCACUAUGUCUUUCUCCUAUAUGUAAGAGGAAACUCUUCAAGGGAAGAGGCUAUUUAAUCAACUUUAUAUAUAAAAAAAAAAAAAAAAAAAUUUUUUUUUUUAAUAUAUCCUAUGCAUCUAGCAGGAGGCAAUGCAGUUUUCCUCACUAAAGUAUAAGCUACAUGAAAGCAGAUCUGAUUACCACUAUAUCCCUGGAGCCUAAAGUAAAACAGUGCCUAAGACCAUAGGAGUUCUGCAGAUACCUUCUGAAUGAAUGAAUCAGUGUAACUAUUAAGUGAAGAAGCCAUCAGCUACACAGAAGCUGAUUGCUUCCUCGUGUGGUUUAACAUUUCGCUAUUCAUUUCUACAUCUUUUCUUUGUCUUUUUUUUUUUUUUUCUUACGUAAUUUAAUUAAAUUGAACACUUAGCGCUUAAUAACACUAGCGCUGUGUGUCUCAUUUUUGGCACGUGGAGAAGAGGCCGUUUCCCUUUUCUUUAAUCUGUUGGCAGAGCGUUUCUGGUCUAUUUGGCCUGCAAUAAAAGUGUUGAGGUUAGAAAACACUUUGCACCUAAGGUUAACAAGAAUUAAAAGCAGUCUGUUGUUAAGAGAAAAUAUGCAAACAGACAGUUAACACAGUUGAGUGGGUUUUGCUAAACUCUCCUUCCUGGUGUUUGGGUUUGGCUUCUACCAUAGUAUUAUCAGUUCCUGCUGAUUUGGCAAGAUCAGCAGUGGGACUGUCUGCCUUGCAAUUAUCAAAGGUUGUAAGGCGUUUUCUCUGGGAUGAAUCACAAAAUCAUAAACUUCUCUAUGACUGAAAGAGCUUCCCAGCUAUUGUUUCUGUCUUUUUGAAUCAAUAUCCACAGGGUUCAGUGUCCUUUUGUAUUCAACAGAAAUUAUGAAAUCAUUCAACUCCUUUCUCAGGGCACUGGAUAAUGGGAACCUGAAGAAGACUUAAUUGUCUCUGACAACAACUCAACCACUUUUUUCUUUGUAUUUCAAUGCUGGGCUGCCUAGUAAAAGAAGGGACAAUUUGAGUUAGGAAAAUGCGAAGGCAAAUUUUGGACUGCAUUGUAAAAUAUUCUAUUGCAUAUAGAUUUGAUACAUAAAUAUAUGUGGUAUUUAAUAUUAUACAGAACACUGUUAUUUGCUUUUCCAGGUUGGAGAUGUCCAAGUUACUCUACCACAAAUUGUCUGCUAAAGCCUGGAUAUCUCAUUUUCCAUAGUAAACUUUACUUAUGUAUAAAAUUUUAGAGAUAGUAAAUUAUGAAGGAAUAGAAAACAUUGACAAAACAUUAAAAUCAUUUUUCCAAUAUAUAUGCAUGUUUGUAUAUGGAAAGAGUCAAGAAUAGAGAGAGAUCCACUUCUGACUUGCUUUAUUCUGUAUUUCCAGUGGCUGACAAUGAUAUACACUGAAAAAUUAGUUGUUGAAUGAAAGAAUAAAAGUAGGAAGCAAAGAAAGAAUGUAUAUUAGGGUUAACAAGUGGUUUAAGAAGCUAAAUCCAUUCACUUAUUUUUAACUGAGAUCAGAGUGUUGCUUGCCCUCUAGUGGUCUGUCUUAAUGAAAUAGGAAAAUAAAACUUUAAUCCUGGUCUUGAAAAGAUGAGGAUUUACUUGAUAAUAACAAAAUAUUUAUAAAUGAAUAAUAGGAGUAUUUUUAUUUUUACCAAAUAUAUGUCUCAUAAAACUUUCUUUUUUCCUUGUUAAAACUUUUAGCAAGUGAGGCAUAACACAUCUGGCAAACCAAAAAUAAGAAAGACUUCCCUUUAGAAAAAUGCAAAUACUGUAUGUGUGAUAUUGGUAUCUUAAGUCUCCUCAUGUUAUUAUAUUUUAGUUGUACUUCCAAUUUGUUUUGCCUUAAGUAAAAUACGGAUAGAAUUACAAUUGUGUUCAUGAUCUUUCAAGAAUUGAAUAUUUCACAAGUGAAAAACUAAAUCUGUCAGAGUUUUGUAAUUAUAGACAUAAAAUACAAGCACACAUUUCUUUUGGAAUAGUCUGGUAGUAACGAGAAAACUACUGACAAUUUGGACACAAGCAUGAAUGGUUACUGUUUACUUAGUUGUUUCACAUUAUUUCUGUUAUUCUUUAUUGGUUAUUAUUAUGCAAAUAAUCAUUUGGAUAAAAAUGUCCCGCUAUUCUAACAUCAAAUAUAAUAAUCUAAUGAGAAUAAAAUUAAAUGAAAAUAAAUAUUAAAUAAAAACAUGUAUGUUUCAAGGAAUGUGUUUUUCUCUCAACAACUCGCUAGCUUUCUGAUAGUUGUCUAGUGUCUAGAUGGUUGCAGUUCUUUUCUAAUUGAAUUAGGAAUAGGAUUCAUACAUUUUAAUUCAUAUUUUAAGGUUGUAUCAGUUAUUUAAAAGACCAGAUGGUAAUCUUUAAAUUUUUUUUAUUAAACCCUUUUGUUUUUGGUAUUUGAGCAUCUUCUCUUUUUGUUUUAGUCUAUAACUUAUGUAACUUUAACAAAAUGAAAUUUUUUUCUAGCUAGAAGGCAGAUUCUAGAAAUGAAGAGGAAGAGGUGAAGGAUGAAAUGUUUGCAAAACAGCAUAGAAUUAUAGGCUAAGUGACUUUAAGAAAGCUUUAAUCAGUAUUGGAUUAUACUUCUUUGACUAACUGACAUUGGAUACAGCAUAAUAAUUACACUGAAAAAUGUGGUAGAGAUUACAACAUUCUUAUGAUGUCAAAGUAAAAAAGCUUUUAAAAAUUAUUUCUCAGGUUUCUAAAGUUUUUAGUAGAUAAAGUGGCAUAAAUCAAGAGUAACUUAAUUAGAUGUUAUUCCAUCUUUUUUUUUUGAUUGUUGUUGUUGUUCCACUUGUACCAUAUGUUGAAUUUUCUACACUUGGGCCAUCUUUAGGUUUAAAAAAAUCCUUCUUUUGAAAUCAAGGAAGACAUCUCUAUAUUUCAGAUUAAGGUGUUCAAAGAGACUCUAAAUGACUCCUCAAAAGACAUAAAGAUCAUCAUUUUAAUUUUUAAACAAUUUCCCACUUUAGUUUUAAAUUUCAAAAGUGAGUCCAAGUAAAUCCAGGAGAAUUGAGAGUGAUUUUUAUACCAAGUAAAACCUCCACUAUUUGUGUGUGUGUUGUGUUCUCUUUAAAGUAAGAAUAGCCUAAUUGAUAAUUAAUAUUUGUAAUUCAACGUAUGUAUUUAUAUAGACACAUGUAUUUCUAUGCACCUGUAAAAAUGUGUACUGAACUAAAUUCCAAAUUUGUUUUUUUUUGUUUCUGUGUGUGUGUAAAAAGAGAGAGAGAAAUAGCGAGCAUGCAGGCAGGCACAAAGUUUAACCAAACACAUACAAUGUUCGUUCUCAGUUAACUUUGCUCUUUCAAUCUGGAAAUCUAUCUAGCAGACGUUAAGAGAAAUGAAAGUCUACUGAUAUCAAUCCCAUCACUUAAGACUAGUACGACCUAUUAAAAUAUAUGUCACUUCCACUUUCUUCUUGCGUGUUACUUUCAAGAGUUAUGAAAGUGAAAUCAAAAUGGAAAUACAGUUUACCUCAAAGGAAAAAUAUACUUGGUUGAUUAGCAUCAGUAAUUAUUUGGUGUAGUAUUUUUUUCUUGUUAGUUACCAGGUUUUCACUAAUUGACCAAAGUAUUUUAGGUCUUCUUUUUUUUAGGUCAGCCGUUAACAGUGGCUCUUUAGGGAAGUAUGAUUUCUGUCUUAUAAGAUUUUAAUGGAAGAUUCUUAAUUAGCUAGCCCAAUACCAAGUAAGAUUCAAAUACAUACUUUUCUUCUUAUUUAUCAGUGUAUGAAAUUGAAUGGUCACAAAAUCUGAAAUUAUGUAUUAUAAUAUUUACCAUUCUACUUUAAUGUAUUAAAUACAUUUCAAAAAUCUACCCCAUUCUAAACUAAAAUUCUACUGAAAUUUCAGAUAUUUCACAUAGUCCAUUUACAGUAUAUUUGUCCUGACUUUAAAUUCUGACAGACUGUUGACUUUUUUUAAUGCCUAAAUGAAAACCUUUGUCUUGAUAACAAGGCUACAGUUUUUCAAUUCAUCUGUUCCCCAGAUUUUUGAGUACCCUGUUUGUCACUGUGCUAGGCUCAGUGGGGAAUACAAAACGCACAAUAAAGAGUUCUCACCUUCGUACAAUGAAUCACUGAAAUUAUUCAGAAGGUUCAUGCAAAGCUUUAAAAAAAUUCCUUGGAAAUUUUUGGCUCUGGAUCUUUUAUUAAAAUAAUCUUCAUUUGCUGGCUCUACCAUAUAGAGAGAUGAAUAGAUAUUUUGAAACAUUGAGUGGAGAACUUUGUGAUACAAGGGUCAAAGGUAAAAUAACUACAGACCUGGAAGGGACCUUGUGGUGGAACAUUCAUGUCCAGAAUACUAAUAGUUUCUAGAAAGAAAAAAAUAUCCUCUUUAAAUAACUUUGGUACACUAAGUUAAAAACAAAACAGACAAAAGCUCUUUGCUGCAAGACUUCCCAGAACUCUUUAAAAGCUAAUAUGCAUUUUUACACUCUGAUAUGAAUUAUAACAUGCAGGUCUUUCUAAAUUUAUUUGAGGAAUUCUUUUUUCUACAAACGCUGGGUUAGAAGAGAUGGUCUACCCUCCUUGGGAACACACAAGAUAUGAGCAGGGCAAUGAAGAAUGAGCAGCAUUUGUGGAGGUGAAGAGGAAAGGAAGCCCAUUACAGGAGGAGAGGAACGUCAUGAGUAACAGAAACAAUGAAUACAUUAUUUUAAAGCAUAUUUUCUUCGUUCAGCUUGGCUGGACCAGAGAAUUCAAAUUGGCAAAUAAAAAACAAAACAACUGUUGCCAUGGAGUCGAUUCUGACUCGUAGCGACCUUACAAGGACAGAGUAGAACUGCUCCAUAGAGUUUCUAAGGAGCACCUGGCGGAUUUGAACUACCAACCUUUUGGUUAGCACUAUGCCGCCAAGGUUUCAAGUUGACAAGUAUUAUUCAUUAAAUCUGGACCAUUAGAAUGGGACCAGACUGAAUAAAGCCUAAUUGCCAGAUUAAGGGAUUUUGGUUUUAUCACGUAGUGCACAAGAAGCUGCUAAUUUUUUUUUUUUUUUUUUAAGAGGGAGAUGAUAAUAGCAAUAACAGUGACAGUCAUUUAUUGAGCAUUGGUCUCAGGAAUUUUUCUAAGAGUUUUACAUAUAUUAACUAAUUUAUCCUCUCAACAACUCUUUAUUGUAGGUAGGGAAUAAAGGUAACGAAAUGUCAACUAACUUCUCCAAGAUUAGUAAACUACUGAAACUUGGGACUGAAAUGUAUACAUUACAAAGACAUUUGAUUCUAGAACGUUUGCUCUCUAGCUGUAUUCUAUGGCACAAAGAAAGCGUUGUAUCAGGAGAUUAACCUGGAAUAAUACGGAUGAUGAACCCGAAAGGAAGUAGACUGGAAGAAAAAUGAUUGGCUAGGAGUCUCCUGAAAUAGACCAAGAAUGAGAUUGUAAAUUCUUUUUGCUCAUAAAGCCUUUUAACUACAGUGAUGGCAGUAGGAAUGGAAAGGAAGGGGUGAUGUUUAGAGAUUCUAAGAAGAAGCAUCAGUGCUAAAGAUUUUGUCUUAUUGAUGGCUUCACAUUGAUCUAAGGAGGUGAAGGAGUUCCGUGUAUCAGUUGUAGCUGAUUCUGGAGUUUUAAAUCGAGAUGAUGGGAGAAAUUUUAUGAUACCACUAAAAAAAUCUGAGGAACUCAUGCAGAAGAGACAAUCAUAGGGAAUGAUGAUGAAUCUAAUUUUUAAAGAUCUUUAGUUGGAAAUGGUGGCAGCACACUAAAUGUACCUGACAGUAAACUGGUAGGGAGACUUGGAGUCACCAGCAGCAAUAGGAUGGUUGAGAUUAUGGGAGGGUAUAAAUUUUCUAAGGCCAAGAAUGAGAUAGGAAGAGCUAACAGGAAGGAGGCCUGGAAUCUGUUAAGUUUACAAGUGUGAGGAGGAAUUACAAUCAGAGAAGGUAACUAAGAAGUUGUAGAAUGAAAAUGUAAUUUUGCAGAGACAUUGUAGAGAAAGAUGAAGUUUUGACGCUGGACAUUGUUAAAUAGGGCAAAAAGAAAGAACUAGAAUGGGAAAGGGGGAGGGGGGCAGGGAAUAAGUCAUUUCAUUGGACUGAACUGUUUAGCUGUCAUUAGAAAGAACACAGUCAUUCCAGAAUUAUCAGCUGUCAUUUAUCUCUCCUAAUUAUCUAAUGGUGCAUCAUUAGCUCAAUUUCUUCAGUCAGUCCAAAUACAUAAUCACUUUCCUUUGUAUCUGUCGGUUAAUGUGCUUGGUAUGAUAUUAUGUUAGAGAUGAAAUGAAAAUGAUUAUUCUUAAAUCUUGUUAGUAUGCUUGGUACUCUCAAAUUCAUGUGAGUAAAAACUCUGAAAACUGAAAAAUGAAACACAUUUAUUCAUUCUCCAAAUGUUUACUGAGUUCCUACCCUGUGCCUCAAAGUAAACUUUCAGUGAUUUUUCUGGUGGUUUAUAGUGCAACUUGUAAUCAUUUAGUAUAUAUGUGUGUAUUCGUGUAUAUAUGUAUGUAUAUGUAUCACUUAUUGUUUAGAUCACUCAUAUGUUGCCUUAUUUGUUUUAUUUUUUUUUUUAAUGUACUCAAAAUCAAAGAAUAAAGACAGAUGUAUCCUGGAUAUUAUCAUUCCUGUGUAUUUAAAUAAGCAUUUUAGUCUAUUUUGUUCUUAUUAACACAGUGCAGCCUUUUAAAAAACCCAAGUUGGUGAGGUUACUGAUUAAUAUUUCCAAGAUUUACCAUCUGUCUAGUCUGACUACAUAGUCAUUUUCCUAGGUCUUCUUUCCCUGCAUAGCAAUUAGCCUUACUCACUACAUUGGAUUUUUUUUUUUAAUGUAAAGUUACACAUAAUAUAUUAUUGCAUCAAAUCUCAUUCAAAAUAGCAACUAUAAAUGUGUGAGUGACAGGAUAAAUUACCGCUGAGUAUUAUGCUUAAUGUUACUAUCGCCUAGGGCCAAAACCCAUCAUGCAGUGUUGGUGGUUGGGUGACAUAUUUUGAUUGGAAUGUACGUACUAUUGGGCAUCAGUCAAAUGUAGUAAUUUAUGAUAAUUACUCACCUGAGGCAGAUAAAAACAACAUCCUAAAUACAAAUAUUCUCAUAGCAUUCUUGCUCAGAAAUUAUUACCCUGGAUUUGAAUAUUCUGCAACCACCUAGUGAUUUUACUUCCAAGUUAUUUUCAUGUAACACACAAAAUCUUGUCUACUUGGUCUAUGUUUCGUAGGAAAGUCAUAAGAAUAAGUUAAACCACUUGUUAAGAUGAAUUUAUAAUGAAAAUAAAAUUUAGAUGAAUGCUAGUAAUUAAAAAAAAAACAAAAACCCAAACCCAUUGCCCUUGAGUCAAUUCUGACUCAUAGCAACCCUAUAGGACAGAGUAGAACUGCCCCAUAGAGUUUCCAAGGAACGCGUGGGGGAUUCGAACUGCCGACCCUUUGGUUAGCAGCCGUAGCACUUAACCACUAUGCCAUAAUUAGAAGCAAAUAAAUUAGUUUUUAUUAUUUAAUUAAUUUAAAUAUAACUAAUUAAUUAGAAACAAAUAAAAAAUGUUUUUUUUCAUCCUUUGUAUCAGCUACUAGGAGAAAGGGAGUAUAUCAUUAUAUAUGCUAGACAUGUGGUAGCACUCCCCAGAAAAAAGAAUCAUUUUAAUGUACUCUUCACCCUUGAAAUGAGCUCAGCCUUGUGUUCUUUGAAUCUACUCUUGGACUUCCUCAGAGACAGAGAUAAAAUCUAAGUUGUGACCUUGCUGGCAUUCUUUCCAGAAGACAUGCUUUCUCGCCUCUUGCAGAAACUCUGGUAUUGCCUUUGCAGCAGCUCCUGUACUUCAAAUUGAACGUUAGAGUUUUAUUAUCAGAUGGAAGACUAUAAAGGUGCAUAUUUUUCCCCAGUAGCAUAUCAAGUGACAAAUUCAUUUGGAGAUCAUUAAAGUUUCUAGAACAAAAAAGUUAUGUGCUCCUAUAACCUAACUCUGGUAUGUGUUGAGGAAGAACUUUUUAUAAUAAUGAUCAAACCAAUUUGCUUUACUUAAAAUAUUAUGUCACCGAAUGACAGAACAAAAAGUGUUUAUAAGGCAUACUGCAUAAUUAGGAAGUAAAUUCCUAAGAUAUAUGGCUAAUACAGCAGGGUUUGAAUAGCACCAUUUCUAAAGCUGAAUCGGGGUCUUUGAUGAGAGUAGGUUAUAACAAUGCAGGCUUUGAGAGCCUUGCAAAAUCUCAAUUAAGUUGUUGAAAUGUUUCCACAGUUUAUUUUUCUAGGAUCUUUUCCAUGACUGCUUGCUCAUAAAGACCUGGCUGUGGAAGGAAAUUGGGCAGGAACUUUUGAAUUGGCCUCUUGUUUGCCUAGUUCUAUUGACCUGUACCAGGGCGGUUACACUUUGGGGGCCUUACGUUGUUCAUUUGCUACUGUUCUUAAUCAAUAAAUUGUUCUCAGUUAACGAAUAAUUAAAAUCAAAUUCUGAUCAUAGACCAGGAAGCAAAAUUCUGAAAUUAAGAAGUGAAGAUAGGUUGAUUUUUCUUUUUGAUUUCCUGCCGUAUGUAGCAUUGUCAUUUUUAUUUUUUAAAGUAUCAGGAAUAUGUGGAUAAAUAAGCAAAAUUUCUUAGUUUUAGACUGGUUGAAUUUGAAUAACUUGAAAAAUAUAGACAUGAUUACUUGAAGGCAAUUGAAUGAAAAAUGAAAAUUAGUAUGAUAAUAAAUGAUCAUAAAAAUUAUAAAACAGACCACCCCCAUAUUUAAACUGGAACAUAUGACAUCAGAAGCCAAGGACAUUAGUCAAUGAGUCAUACAAGUGUGGUUAUGCACACAUAUAUACAUAUAUGUUUUUGCAAAAACUUUUCUUAAAGAGCUGUUAAUUUGAUAUUAGCAUAAGGGUUAAUUUUUCAUUCCCAAUUCUAAUGUAUUUUUUGAAACCACAACUGAAUGAUGUUACUAUUUUUGUAUGCUUGAAAUGAUGUGUUUUUCUCCAUUUUUUAAAAAUUUUCUUCUCAGUGUCACGUAAUUGAAGAAAUCAGAAGUAAAAUAAUCUCUAAAUUAUUUAGUACCAUGUCAUUAUUACAAUCCAUGACAGUUCUUUCAGGAGGGCCGUUAGAAAGUUAAGAUCACAAAGAUGGGAUCCAACUAGCAACUGUAUAUGUUUGUUAUGUGUAUUUGCCACGGACUUGGGGUUCAGAAGAAAUGACAGGUACUCAAAAUGGGCAACUAGGGUUUUGGAGACAGGAAGUCAAAGAAAAACUAAAAGUGUUAUGUUUAUUUUCUGCUGUAUUUAGCACUGAGUGGUGGGUAAACUUGUUCAGUGGGGAAUGUAGUUUUCAGAGAGAAAGGGGAAAAAGUCCUAGUGUACAAAGGCAGAGAAAAAUGUAAAACUUUUUCCAAGGAUCUGAGGAUCAGGAAAUGCCAUUUUACAUUAUUAUCCAGUGAGUGUUCAUUAUUUCAUAGAAAAUAUGCAGGGUACUUCAAGAGCAGAGGUCUUGUUUUAAUAUAUAAUGUAAAUGGAGUUGAGAUAGGAUUGUAACAUUGUAAUACCCGUGGGAAAUAAAUUUUCAGGAUUCUUAGUGAUAUUAGAUAGUGGUGAUUGAGUAAUGACAUAAAUUUGAAGUUCCUCUUAGGUUGAUUUCAAAUGAUAAUUAGGGAUUGAGGUGAAAGAAGAAAAUGCCAUAAGUUUCUGAAACUGAAGUUGCUUUGUUGCAUUGAGGGUAUUAGUAACAGUUUUCCACUGAAUAUAUCCAAAAUGGGAUGGGAGAGUCAGGAGUGGGGAGAAAGCCAUGCCAUUUUAUGCUUUUAGAAAGUGGUGGUUACAUGAUUUUACAUAUUCUUCCAUUAAAAAGAGCAGAAACAUAAUAAAAUAAAUAAAUCACAUAGUUACUAUCCUGUUCUUCUAGGGCCUCUUCAUAAAUUUGCUGAUGUCUUAAAAUUUAAUUUGGCUCCUGUUCUUCAAUACCGUUCAGAAGGUUUGUGUCCUGAUGAGUAUGGAAGCCAAACAAUAUUAGGAAAAAUACCCUGAAUCCAUUGCAUUAGAAGAAGGAUUAUAUUAAGUGACUCUACUGGAUAAUAAAUUACAAUAAGAAUUAAAAUAAAUGUCAACGUGUUAAUGUUAAGAAAGAAAAUAGUUAGAUGUAUUGUCCAACAAUUACAAGUUUGACAACAAUGGAAGACAUAUGAACCAAAUUCAUUUUGUGCACUAGGAAGUAAAGUUAUGGGAUACACUGUAUAGCAUAUUAAUAAAAGUCAAAAGAAGUUUUUUUGUUUUUGCUUUGUUUUGUUGUUUUAUGGAAGAAGAAGGAAUUUAAGGCUACUAAAAAAAUUUUUUUUUUUUAAUAACCAGUGGGUGAAUAACCCAGAAUGGAAACCCUGGUGGCAUAGCGGUUAAAAGCUACAGCUGCUAACCAAAAGAUCAGCAGUUUGAAUCCACCAGGCACUCCUUGGAACCCUAUGAGGCAGUUCUACUGUGUCCUAGGGGGUUGCUAUGAGUCAGAAUCGACUGGACAGCAAUAGGUUUUUUUUUUAAUAGUCCCGGAGAACAUCAUUUGAAAACUCUGGGAUAUAAGAUGUGUGGGAAUCUUUUCAAGACAGAGAUUUUGAAGAUUAUAGUAAUAUUUUAUAAACUAAAAACCAAACCUGUUGCUGUUAAGUUGAUUCUGACUCCUGGCAACCCCACGUGUAACAGAGUAGAACUGCUCCAUGGGGCUUUCUUGUCUGUAAUGUUUACAGAAGCAGAUCGCCAGGCCUUUCUUCCGUGGCACCCCUGGGUGGGUGCUAACUGCCAACCUUUAGGUUAUCAGCCUAUCACAAACUGCUUGCACAACUCAAGGACCAUAUAAUAUUCAACAUAACCUGAACUCAAAUUUACUGGUUACCUGAAAAAGAAGUUAGAGUGAUGAUUUUAUUAAGUUACUCAUACAAUGAAAAUGUCUACUUUCACUGUUAAUAAAAAUGGAGCUGACAUGCUGAGUGCUUUCCACUUGUGUCAAGCCGGGGCUGAGCAUUGGGCAUUGUCAUGUAACUGCUCUGAUUAAAUAUAAGUCUAGUGCACACUGUUUUUAAUUAUAUAUGCCAAAAAAUGUUUAUAUGAGACUGACUUCUGUUUUAUCUCAAAAAAAAAGUUUCUAAUCCAGUGUUUUUGGAAGGUGAUCGGGGCUGAAUCAAAGCCUUUGUAAUAAAACAACCAAGUAACCUAGGAGUAGUAAAUGUGUUUUCAGUAAAGGAUCACGUAUUAGUGCCCAUUUACACCUUUCGUCAAAACUAGUGACAAAAUAUGAAUACACCAUCACUGUAAGAAUUAGAAGACGUAAGUAUUCCUCCAACUAAUGAACCAGAUUUUUUGAAGAAAGAAAACAGUGGCCACUUCUUAGAGGCCUGAUUUGUCAUCAUAAUAGUAAAAUAUGUUUGCAAUAUUUACGUGACAUUUAUUUAUAAACUGAGGGACAAUAAAUAUCUUCUCCCGUUUCACAGUAGCACUUAUCUGUAUCGCCAUCACCACAGGCUACCAAUCAAGAAAGAAACAUUGCCAACAUAAGAGGAAGGAAGUUUGGGUAAAUAUAUGUAUAUUUCAAAAUACUGUUUUACAUGGAAGGGAUCAUUCACUGUGAGAAAAUUUUCAAAGGUGGUAUCAGAUGUGAAAUUCAAAACUGCCUCAAAGCUGAAGUCUCCAAAAAAAAAAGUAGUAGACAAAAGCAUCUUUGGCCCUACCCGUAUUCCUAGGAUUCUCUGGUUUGUCUUCUUUUUUUUUUUUUUAACUGUACAAGUUAUAUUUUGUUAUUUUUAAAGCUAUUUCAAUUAAAAUUAUUUUAGUUCAGCAUCGCAGUGAUACCUAUGUAUGAAAAAGAACCAAAGAAUUUAACCAGAUAACAACAGUGAUUGAUGUUUCUCUACUCAUUAAUGUGUGAUAAUACCGAUAUUUGAUAGGCUGAAAAUGAUCUCUGUGUUACGGAAAGGUUCGUUAAGCUAAUUAGUAACAACAAAUUUGCAAAUGGAAAUUUUUAGCCUUUUCAGAAAGCAAACUCUUUCAAACUUUUCUUAAUUAAACAGUAAAAUUGUAUAUAAAAACAGCAUUAAUAGAAUGAAUGACACUAGCUGCUGACAAUGAAAGCCCUAAAUCACAGUCUGGUUUUCAGAGUUACGAGACAAUGAAAAAUGCCUCUAGCUAGUCCUUCUUUUAAAGAUCACAGCCCAUACAGAAGAGCACUAGCUACUUACACAUCCUUGGGAAGUGAAAAUCUAACCCUAUCAUCAUCUGUUUCAAUAUUGCAACCAUAAAGCACCUUCCAAUAACUAUGUUAAGUGUAUUAAUUUUGUGCGUCUGUUUCAAGGUAAAAUUAGAACCACACCACUUUCAAUGCCCACGAGAGAAGAGCUUUAAUUCCAGCCCCAAUUACCUAGUCUACAAAUAUCUAUUAACACAAAGAAAAUAGUAUUGUUCUAGAAGUUCAUUCGCUGAUGGGUAUGCAGUCCUAUUUACAAUCACUAUUGAUGUCAGAAAGGUAGAACAUUUAUUUUUCCAUGUUCUAGCAUGUGAUUUACCCAAGGGGAAAAAAAUAUAGCAUGCUUGUACAAAAGUACAAUCAAGGUGAUACCAAUGGGAUUUAAUUUUUCUUCCUUAAAUAACCAGUAAAUGAAAAUUGCUUUCUAGUAUUUCAAAGGAGAAAGCGCUAAAAACUGUUAGCUAAAAGAGCUUUCUGCCUGACAGCAUUAAUUUCCUAUUCAUUUCAUUAAAGGGAGGGUUUUGAUAGGGCUUAUAAAUUACAGCAUGUUCCUAGCAGACUAAUAGCUUGAGGAAAAACAUGUAAUGGCUCUCCUUAAUCAAAAUAAGAGCAAGUUGUUGUUUAUUCAGCUGAGGAGCUUUGGAUCGAGGGUACUUAUUUUAUUAUAUCUAUGCCAAAUAAAAAGUAACCCAUAGAAACAUAGCCAAUGAAAUAAGUAUGGGAAGUUUAAGAAGAAAAAAAAAACUAUGAAUGUGGCUAUAAUAGAGUUUCUUGGGAAUUCAUCCAUUCAUUAACCAAUUCAUUUACUUAGAACUUAAUAUGGACUCACGAUUGUGUUAUAAGCACUAGGGUUAUUUUGGAGAGCAGAACACAUAUGGUCCUUGUCCUCAUGGAACUUACUGUUUGACAGGAAACUAAAUGGGUAGAAUAGAGGUUGUACUACUCUUAAAUUUUUUUGAAACCUGAGAACCUCUCUCUAACUAAGAAUUCUCUGUAGCGUGACAAGAAUGGAACCAAAAUAGAAAUUCAGUUUACUUUCUAUUAAAAAAGAAAGUGUGACAGCACUUCUGCGAACUAGGCAUUAAAGUAUUGGCUGCUCCAAAUAAGAAAAUAAACUUCCAAAGCUUAUAACAUUCCAUAUUGAGUUUCCAUGUCAACUGGCUCCACAGGCUACCUUUGGGGUGGUUCAUUUACUGUUGAGUCAGACGCUAGGGGUGUAUCAAGGCUUCAAGGGAUCAAGGAACUUGUUCUCUUGUGCCUUCUGUUCUCUGAAAUUCAAGUAUGCACUUAAUGGCCUAGGAUGUAUGUAGCCAGUUAUACUUUCGGAGAUGCAACCCCUUUUUGUCUUCUCAGUCUACGCAAUGAAUGACCAUGUUUUCACUCCUGCUUCUUCAUCCCCAGUAGCCACACCCUCGUAGGCGCACACAUCAACCAACUUCUAACUGGUUAUCGGUGUAAACCUAUCUUAGUGGCUUUGGCAAAUCUCUGUAAUUUGGGGGAGGGAACUUAUUGGAGUAUGUUAAGUCUCCUUGAAAGACAUAAAGGAGUUCAGGUUUCUUCAGAUUGACUGUGUGCAUCUCCCUUCUUCCCCCCACAACUUCACUUUUCUGGCCCAGAUCAAUGUCAGUAGUUAAAUGAAUCAGUCAUUUGAAAGCUGUCUGCUGACCUUUCCUUCAUGACUGAUUUCAUAAAAAGUGCACGAGAAUGAGGUUUCUAGGCAAGAGAACAGUCACACUGCCUACCCUGGCCACCACUCCCAGUAGAUCCCUAGGUUUCCAACAGAGGAAUAGGCUACUUCUGUAGAAGCAGGACCUGAGAGCCUCUCAAGCAACCAUAAUGAAGCUGAAAGCCACAGCUAGCCUUUCUCCAUAGCCUGCAGGAAUUAUUUAUAAAGAGAAGACAAAGGUUGAGUCACUUGUUGGCCUUCAAAACACUUCCUGAAGGGGACAAUGAAGAAGCCUCAGCUACAGUUGCCCAAAGGUAUCAGAAAGACUUUUUAUCCUCCACCUAUUAUAUCCAGAGUGCUCUUCCCACCUUGGAUCAGGAAUACCAGGUUUUGUUCUUUUCAAGUUGGAAAUAGCAUAAUGAAUAGAUCCAACUUAGAAUAAGAACUAUGUUUUAAAAUUCUAUGCUUUAAAAUAAUUUCUUUACUUGACUGCGUUUUACCAGGUCCUUCGUAAACUUUACUUUUUGUUAAUUUCUAUGAGGGAAAAGAAGAAUCAUUAUGAAAAUCUCCACCAAUAGAAAUGUUGUAAACUUGCUGGUUUGUGUGUGUGUGUGUGUGUGUGUGUGUGUGUGUGUGUUCUGUAAGCAUGUUGUUGUUUUAGGUGCCUUCUAGUUGGUUUCUACUCUCAGAGACCCCAUGGGUUUUCCAAGGCUAUAAAUCUCUACAGAAGCAGACUGCCACAUCUUUCUCCCACAGAGCCACUGGUAGUUUCUAACUGCUGAUCUUUAGGUUAACAGGCGAUCGCUUUAACCAUUGCGCCACUAGAUAGGACGGUGGAUUUUUUUGCAGCAGAAGAUAGCAAAGUAUCAGCAGCUGAAGUAGUUAUUUUGUGUCUUGUCCAACCUUAGACUCCUCUUGAAUUAAAUUUCAGAUGUUAUUUGAUAUAAAUCAACUCCAUAAUAAAACUAUUUAGAAGCAAAAUCUGAAUUUAGUUAUGAUACAUGAUCCCCAGAAAAGAUCACAUAUUCCAGUCAAAAAAUAUUUUAGAAAGAAUAAAGUGGUGUAGAAGAAGGGGUUUUCUACUGUCCUUUUCCGGCUUACAGAGAUUGUCUCAAAUCUUAGAAUAAAACAAAGAUGAAAAAAGAUCAGUGAAGAAUAAUACUGUAAUUACAUUAGCUAACAUUUGUGUAAGGAGCCCUGGUGGUGCAAAGGUUAAGCACUCAGCUGCUAACUUAAAGGUUGAGAGUUUGAAUCCACCCAGCGAUUCUCUGGGAGAAAGACCCAGCUCCUGUAAAGACUGCAGCCCAGGAAACCCUGUGAGGCAGUUCUACUCUGCCAUGUGGGGCUGCUGUGAGUUGAAAAUCGACUCCGCAGCAACCAACAACAUUUGUAUACACGCUUCCCUUUCCGGAGCAUGUUGCCAAAGGAAAGACUUAUUAGGAAGUCCUUUUGCAUUCUCCUUUUGUAUUCUCAGAUACAUAAUACACUCCAAAAUACACAUCAAAGCUUUUAUUUUCUCAUCAUGCUAAUGUACUUCUUGACCAGUCAAUCUGAGUGACUCACUAAUUUGAAAACAAAAGUUUUUUGCUUUUUUUUUUUAAGCCAUACUCCUGGUUAAAUCAUAAUUUCUAGGGCAGAAAAUAUCUUUUUUGAAAGCUGGGAAAAAGCUAAAUACAUAAGUGGUGCUCCAUAGGAUUUUCUUGGCUAUAAUCUUACAGAAGGAGAUUUCCAGGCCUUUCUUGCGUGGCACCACUGAAUAGAUUCAAACUGUCAGCCUUUCAGUUGGUAGUCAAGAGCAAAACCAUAAGCUUCAUUUGCCUGAUGGUUUUAGAGGAGAUGUUUUCCUCCUAUGUACUCCUUGCUAAUUAGUUGGGGAAAAUGUUUAAGUAUAGCUACCUUCAUCCUCCUUCACUUACUACUUUCUGAUAGGUCUUUUCUUUUGGCAAAAUAAUUAUUGCAAUAUAUUUCUGAUAUGAGGUUAGAAAAUAAAAGCACAAGGAUCAUUAUGAGUGUGUCGGGCAAAGUUCUGUGUGAAGCUGAAAAAGCAAUUCAAAAGGAAUAAUUUUCAAAAUAUUGUAACAUACCAAAAUGUUACAACGUUCAAAAUAUUAUAAUACGGAAAUAAUAAGCAAUGUUGUUUUCUGAGUUAUCUGUUGAGUUCUAGGGUUUGUGAUAGGUGUUUCAUAAAUUAAUAGUCUGCUGGUGCUUGAAAGGCCUGGAAGAAAUUAUUAUCCCAUUUUACAGAUAAGAAAACAGCAGUAAAGUGGUAGAGCGAUUAUCUAAAUCUAAACCCCCGUCUAUAAGAUUUGAAAGCUUCUGACCUUUCGAUUAUGCCAUGAUUAUGAUAUAUCUACUCAAUGAAUGAAAUAUUAUAUAGCUAUUUAAAAGCUUAUAAAAUUAUGUAGGCUUGUGUGAAAAUGUGUAUGAGAGAGUAAAUAAAAAUGUAGGUCACACCAAAAUGCAUAUAUUAGAAAAAGACUGAAGAGAAAUGUAGGAUGAAAAUAGUUCUUGGGGUUUUUUUGUUUGUUUGUUUUGCUGCACUUUUCAAGCUUUCAAUACCAUUAUAAUUACAUUGCUCAUAAAUACUAAGUUUUAAAUCAUAAAUGAGCCAAAUGGUUGAGUGGUAAAUGAGUAUGUGGAGACUGUUGAUGAUUAUUUGUGUCACUUGUCUGUCUUUGGUACCAGCGGUAUUACUCGUUAAAGUAAGUCUUAUGAUUUGUUUAUAUUCUUGGGAAACCAUUAAUGAUUUCCACAUGAGUAUGACCUAUAUCUUCUUUAUAUUCUCGUGACCCAGCCUGGUGAUUGACCCUUAGUGUUCACUCAACAAAUGCCAGGGCCACUCCUCAAGCCUAUCCAGUGAGUUCAGCUGCAUUCAGCCGGUCAACUUUUUUUCUUACUCAUUAUGUGAGUAAUUUUUCUUUUUUGCCCUUUUCAAUCCGGGGAACAUUUUCUACGAACCCUAGAUUGAGCCCAGAUAACUGACUCCUGCAGUUUUAAUAUCUCCUUAUUGAAUUUUGAUAUCAUAGUUUUGAUUUAGUCAUAAAAUCUACCAUAUAUUUGGCAUCUGUGGCAGAUUCAAUUUUUUUAAACUAAAAAAAAUGGCAUCGUAAUUGAAAUAGAAUAUUAACUGAGAACAGUAGUGGAGAUUUUCUAUCUAUCAUUGGCCUUCAGAUUGUUUAUUCAUAACAGGAUUGGCCUCUGGGUCUGAAUAUUGUUCAUCAGCCGGCCAUCUUUAACUGAGAAUUAACAAAUUAGUGAUUUAGAGAGCUUUCUGAAACAAGCAGGAAUAUGCAGCAAGCUUUUGUUCCAUUUGUUUAAUUCCUGACCCCAUCACCCAAUGCCUUAAAAACCUAGACAACUUUUGUCCCAUGGUGCAUAGUGGGAAAUGAAUACUUAAACACAAGUUGAAAAUUAAAAAGAGAGAUUUAUGUUUACUUUUUUACACUUUAGUAAUGCUACCCAUUUUUUCCAGAUUCAAAAAGUAAUGUUACGGUUUAAUAAGGUGAACCAGAUUUCCUUUCCAUCCAUGGACUUGACAAGGUGCGUUGUUGAAUAAAGACACUUAGAAAAUGCUAUUUUAAAAAAGUUUUUACACUAAAAUACAAGUUUGAAAUUCAGAGUUUCACAGUUUCUUCCUGACUCAUAUUUCUUGCUUUCUCUUCAACCAUGAGUUCUGUAGCCUAAUUGGAUUGUUGUGCUCAUGGUUUUACAAAGAUGUCUUGUGAAUUUUUCCUUCAAAGUUAGAUCCUUACCAUUGACCUAGAAUACCUUACGUCUUCUUUCCAUUCCACUAUGACCUCAAAUUCUAGCUUUGGUGACACCUAAUCCCUAAUAAGCCCAGCCCAUGGUAAUUUCACAUUUACUAGACCUUCUAUUGCAUUUAUUAUUGUUAUUCUCAUUUAGGAUUAAGUUCACAUUACCUUACAAUAAUGUCAGAUACCUUUUAAGCUGCCCUCAAAUAUCGUAUCUUCUUGAAAGCAAAAGUUGUCACAUAUUCUCUAAAACAUAUAUCCUAAUAGAUAAUGGGUGUUUAAUACAUAUUUUUUGGCUAUCCUCUAAAUGAGAAGAGUAGUCUGAACUGGUCAGAAUCAGAAUUAUAUAUUAAUUUAAAAGACAUGUAAUUAUUUAAUACUAAAUAAAUGCCUGUUGUUGUUGUUGUAUGCUGUCCAGUUGAUUCCAACCUAUAGUGACCCUAGACGACAGAGUAGAACUGCUGCAUAGGGUUUCCUAGGCUGUCAUCUCUACAGGAGCAGGUCGUCAGGCCUUUUCUCCGGAGGAACCUCUGGUGGGCUCCAACUGCCGGCCUUUGUUUAGCAGCCGAGCGCUUAACCCUUGUGCCCCAAGACCCACCCCAGGGAUCCUUAAAUAUCAACAAAUAGGAGGCCUUGGACAACUGCUUUAAUAAAUAGUUAAAAAUAAGGUAUCGAAAGCUUACAAAUCAUACCUAAUUUAGUUGAAAACAGCUUGUCCUGUUAAGUUAAACAUUGCGUUUGUAAGGGACUUUACCCUACUGAACUUGUUAGGAAGUGGAUUUAUCUUAGAACAGUAGUAAACUUCACCACGGGCCUCUUCGUUACUAACCUAAUCUCCACGAAAGAUGAAGUCUAGAUUUAUUGAUGAUUUGGGACAUGGAUGGAUGAUUACAUUUUACUUUUUCUCUCCACCCUGAAUAAAAUAUGCGUUUGAAUCUUUAAUAUGGUUCAAUGCGUUUAACGCACAAAGAAACAUAAAAACAAAACGUUUGACCUCUCCAGUAUAUAUUUUGAGAGUGGGUAUCAUGAAAACAAAGGGCAGAUAAUCAUGCAGGCUUCUAAUGUUCAAAGGUCGCUCAGUAACUAUGGAUGGUUUCUACUAAAGUUGAUUCUAUAUUAAUUUUAACAGGAAGCAGAAACAGCAUUUAUAUUAUACAAGAAAGUGCUGGAAAUUGUUAGUCUAAUUUUGUAAAAAUCAGUAAUAAAUGAUAGAAGCAGCAUGAUAGAAACAAACACACACAAAGAGUUAUGAACUGUCAUAAUCUGUUUUUCAGAGAGUGCAAGAAAAGAUCACAUUAUUAAAAAGAAAAAAAAAAAGUGGUGUAUAAUUCCUCUAAAAGGAACUAUAAAAAUCUGUUGCCAUCAAGUCCGUUCCGACUCAUGACAACCCCGUGUGUUUCAGAGUAGACCUGCUCCAUAAGAUUUUCUUGGCUAUCAUUUUACAGAAGCAGAUCUCCAGGCCUUUCUUUGCUGGCACCACUGAAUGGAGUCAAACUGUCAACCUUUCAGUUGGUAAUCAAGAGCAAACCAUUUGUGCUACCAGGGACCUUUUUAAAUAGAAUAGGAAAUAAAUCCCACUUUAUAGAAGAUGAUCACUGGUGGAGCAGUAGUUAAAGUGCACUGCUGCCAACUUAAAAGUCUGCAGUUGAAACCCACUAGCCCCUCCAAGGGAGAAAGAUGUGGUAGUCUGCUUCUGUAAAGAUUUACAGCCUUGGCAACCCUAUGGGGCAGUUCUACUCUGUGGGUCCCUGUGGGUCAGGCCCCUGUGGGUCAGAAUCGAUUUGAUGGCAAUGGGUUUGGUUUUUGGUUUGUUUAUAUCAGAUGUUUAUUUCUGUCAUCUGUCUUCCUCUUUCUUUUUUUCACACCUACACACUUCUGUUCACACACACAAAUGCAGACAAACUUUCCCAUAAAAUUGGACACAGUAAAUAGUAAUUAGAUAAAUAAUGUACUAAUUUCAAGUUUCAUUGUAUUUUAUUGUAAACAUACAUUUUGAUAUAAACCAAACUUUUUGGCUAAUCUUGAUGUUAGCUAAACAGUGUCAGCGAUAAUUACAUUAUAGAGUUUGGACACAUAUUGAUAUUCAAAUGGCAGUUUCUGUUUGAGCAGAAAAUAUCAAUAUAUGUCUUGGUAAUAUCUAAGUAAGAAAAAUGAACAGCAAAAUGUAAAAAAUAAAACAUUUUAUUUGCAAUGCAACACAUCAUGGAAGUAUGGCUUUAUCAUUUUCAGAAUGCUUUCAUAUAAAUUAGGAGCUCUGGUAGCACAGUGGUUAAAGAGCUCAGGAUGCUAACCAAAAGUUCUGUGGUUCAAACCCAACCAGCCACUCCAAGGGAGAAAGAUGUGGUAGUCUGCUUCCUUGAAGAUUUAAAGCCUUGGAAACCCUAUGGGGCAGUUUUAAUCCGUCCUGUAGGGUUACUCAGUGGCAGUGGGUUUGGUUUGGUUUUCAUAUAAAUGAUCUCAUUCAACCUCUAGAAUUAUUUUAUGUAUAAUUAUUGUCAUUCUACUCCUUCAGGUUAGUAAAGAGGCCCACUGGUGAGUGAGUGGAUGAGAGUUUGGAUUCACAUUCUUUCUGAUUGUCCGGUGGUCUCUCUAUAUCACAACUGUACAGUAAAUGAAAUGAAUUGUUCCAUAAAGUAGAACGAAUAUUUUACUGACUAGCCUUUUUACAGGUAGGCAAAGUUAUUCCACACUCAGGUCAUAGAAAAACAUUCAUUAAAACAAUAUAUAUUCAGACUCUUUGCCUAACUCUGAACGUUUCUUACCCCAAAUUUUACAUUUUUUUUUUCUUCCAGUGAGUGCAUAUGAACACUCCUUCCAAAUACUGUUCCUUUGCCGUCUGUAAAAUGGCAGUGCAGAGCUGUACUGUUGAGCUUUGCUGUUUAAGCAUGUCAAUUAUUUCGUCAGUCACCAAUUAAAUAAUUUACUAUGUUCAUAUUUCCUUCUUUGUUUCAUGCAAAUUCCUAAGAAUAUGUCUGUCUUUUGGGACAGUCAUUGAAAAAUGUUUUGUUUGCAAAUAUUAGAAUUUUAGAAGGGAGGCAAUUUUUUAUUUUCUUCCUACUUACUUUUGCGCUGCCAUCUGCCCAUUCAUUUGUUUAUUCAACAGGUAUGUAUUAAAUUCUCACUCUGUGCUAUGUCCUAGGCAUUGGGGAGUUAGGUGAACUCAGCUCCUGACAUAAAGAUCUUUUCGUCUAGUGCGAAACAUAUAUAAAGAUUGUAGAAAUAAAUUAUAUUCUAUACUUAAUCUAGCACAGUGAAAUGAAAAUCAAGUAUAUAAUUAUUCAAUCCAAAGCAUUUUAUAUCUGUAAUAUAUUUUACCUUUCAAAUAUAUAUUUAUAAAUAUAUAUUAAUUUAUCCUUUAGCAUGCAUUAAAAACUUCAAAGACUUAAUGGACUGCCUCUUAGAUGCUUUCUUGAUCAAUAUGACUAAAUGGAUGAAUGCAUUCAGAAACAAAAUUUUCCCCUUAGCAGGAAGAUUAUCGAGAGUUAACUCCUGAAUAAUAACUUUCUUUUCCAAUUAUAUUUGUGGCUAUGCUGACAUUUCAGUAGGGUUUUAUUGAAGCUGUAAGGCCACUCACUAAAUGCAGAUAAUGAAUCUAAGAUGCAUGUUAAUUAUGCCAUGUUUCAUACAUACAGAUAUGCAGAAUCUGAGUCAGAGUCAAGAUGUUAAUUAUUUUAUAUUGAUUAGAAAAAGUUAAUAUAGAGGCUCCUUUUAUAUAUUAAUUAAAAGUUCACAUUGGGAUCAACAGAUCAGAGAAGCAAUAAAGUGUGGUUGAAUGCUUAUUUUACUGUGGACUUUGGGAGGUUUAUUGGCAGAACUACCUUGAAAAGCUUACAAUUUUUAGAGUUGGUACAUUUUUAACUUUUUUUCCCUUCAGUUACUUCUGUAACUUUUGGAACAAGCUAAAUUUAAAUUUGACCAACACAACUACUCCCAUCUUCUUGAAAUGCUUCUCUUGACUGCUAUGUAAUCACUUUCUCCUGGUUCCCUUCUACCUCCCCACCCUUGGAGCCCUGGUGGUCCAGUGGUUAAGCACUUGGCUGCUAAUCAAAAUGUUGGCAGUUCGAAUCUAUCAGCUGCUCCUUGGAAACCCUAUGAGACAGUUCUAUCCUGUCCUAUAGGGUUGCUAUGAGUCAGAAUCAACUUGAGGGCAGUGGAUUUUUUUCCUUUACCUCUCAGGCCUACCCUGUCCAGUCUCCUCCUUCGGCUCUUCGUCUUUCUUUGAAACUCCAAGGCUCCAUCAGAUCUCACCUAGAGUUUGGCAGUCUUUUCCUACUGUUCCUUCUUCUUCAUCUUGCCACCUCUAAAAAACGUUCUAUACAAAGCAGCCAGAAUGGGCCCUUAAAAUCUGUACCAAGUCAGUGACUUUCUUCAAGAUCUUCUAAUACUUCCACCCUACACUCAGAAUAAAAGUCACUGCUUACUGUGGCCUUACAAGCCCUUACCCGAUCUGGCCUCUUGUCACCUCUCCAAUCAGCUCCUAUGGCUGCCAUGCUCACCAUCUCCACUGGCCUUCACUCUGUUUCUUAAACACGCCAGUAUCAUUUCCCCUUACUGCCUUUGAUUUCUCUGGUUACAGUGACCUUGCCCUAGAAAUUGAAUGACUUGUCCUUUAUUAGAGUCAUCUCAACUACAUCCAUCACCCUAUCUUAAUGUUUUAGUUCAUAGAAAGUAUUAUUUCCUAUUUAUUUAGACUUUUUUCUGAAUCCUCUCAUGUUUAUUUAUGCCAUCUUUAUAGCCUCUUUCGUUUGUGCAUGACACCAUGCUGGGUUUUUAACAUAGCAGAGAAUGAGUAUCUGGCAAGUUGCAUAGUUUAGUGAAAUUCUCAUCUUUCUCACUGGCUUUUCUUUGCUGAAGAUACCUCUGAGAGCUGGAGAGCGGGCAUGUCCGUGUGAGAGUGAGCUGCUACUUUAUCUAACGUUAUCUUUAUCCAAAGUUAUCUAAAUAUUUGAAACAUUCUGUGCUAACAGCUCUGCCUCCUCCUGAGACUGAGAGUGGAAUUAUUUCCAGAUGGUCCUAAAGUUUCAGCAUAUUGCUACAGUUAACAAAAAGCUUUUGUAAAUGUUAUAUUAACCACUAAGGGGCAUGUGCUACCGUUAAUUCGUGUUGUGAGUUCCUGUUGCUAAGGGUAGAAUUUGUCUGUGUGUGCAUUUUUCACCUUACCUCGUAUAUAAUAUUUACAGUAUUGGCUCUUAUGAUUCGCAAAUCCCAAAGAACUCACAUUAAAGUACUUACAAACAUGUUACAUGUGUCUUUUACCAAAGAGCUAAGCUUCAAAAGCUAUGAAGGUAUUGUAUUUGUUUUACCUUAAAGAAAAAAAAAAAUUUUUUUUUUUUUUAAAUUAAAUCUGCUAAAAAAAAACCAGAAAGAGCUGAAUUGUUGUUGUUGGGGAGUGUAUUAAGUAUAAAGUGUAAUUUAUCUAUUGUUGCUGUGGGUUUUUUUGCCUUUGCAUAAUGUAAAUUUUUACCCUUUGCAUAAUGUAAAUUGGGAAACCCUGAUGGCGUAGUGGUUAAGUGCCAAACGGCUGCUAACCAAUGGGUCGGCAGUCCAAAUCCGCCAGGCGCGCCUUGGAAACUCUAUGGGGCAGUUCUACUCUGUCCUAUAGGGUCCCUAUGAGUCGGAAUCGACUGCACUGAGUACUGGGUUAUAAUGUAAAUUAAUGCAAAUUUUUAGAGCAUUCUAUUACUGUUUAAUUCUUAUAAUGAAUAAUAAUAGUGGUAGUACAUGGCAUCAAACAGUCCUUUAUAUUCACAGAAACUGUAUUAAAGAAAUAAGUUUAGCAUCAGUAUUCCUAUUAUUCACUUCAUGGAUAUUUCCAGAACAUUUCCAAGAUAGGGAAUGCUUAAAGAAUCAUUUGGGUUUGCAACAGUUUGAUUGAAGGAAGUUAAAUAUUGCCUUAUUGAUUGGACUAGUGUGUUAACCAAAGAAAUGACACAGGCUAGAACCUUUAUUAAUUUUAAUGAAAAACACCUGAAAAAUUUUUAAAGACAAUGAGAUGAGAUAUACUGAAAUUGUCUUCAGACUAUUCUUUUUUUCAACCUACUUUUAAACAGUUGACUUAAAUGAAGAAGAUAAGCCUAAAAUUAUAAUGCCAUAGACCAGGAGGAAAGAGUUAACCAAUAAUAAAUUCAAGGCCAUAAAGUAUACUUCCUAUUUCUUCACAAGAACCUAAGGCUAUAGUUUCUCUUGCUGCUUGCCAACUUAUAUAUGGUUACCAGGGAAACUUCCUAUACUAAAUUAUGCUGUGUGGAACUUACAUGUAUUCUGUUAAUUUAGAUCCCAAAUUUAGAUUCCAUUUAAAAUAACUAGGAUGUGGUAGGAGGGAAUUCUCUAAUAUAUCACUUAACAUUUGUAGUUUCUUGCUUGAAAUUAAAAACUUUUGGUGGCACGUAAGUGUUUAUAAUGGUGUAAAUCAAUAUGUAGCCUGUUUAACCAGCAUAUAAAUCUAACCAUUUGGUUUCUUUUUCUAAGUGGAAUAAAUUAGGCAAAAAGCAAUGUUUUACUCUGAGUGAUUUUAUUUAUGAAUAUUAUAAAGUAUACCACAGAGUUUGGUGUUUAUAUAGCAUUUCCCUUUUGUAUCUCCUGUGGCAAAAUAUGUGUUAGAGAUUUAUGAGCAUAUUUUCAAAUGGGAAUAAAUAUUUAUAGAGUCUUAGAGAAUAUGCUACCUCAGUCCUUCAAUAAAACCUUGCAUUCAGGUAUUAGAGAUGACUAUUCAUUCACUCCUUUGUUUAUUCAGCAAGCAUAUACCUACUGUUCUCUACUAGGUACGAGGCAAUGUGCUAAAUACCUAGGAUCCCAAAGCAAAUUUUUUACUUAUUCUCAAGGAGCUUAGAGGGAGAACCCAUUGCCAUAGAGUUGAUUCUGACUCACAGCGACCCUAUAGGACAGAGUAGAACUGCCCCAUAGGGUUUCGGCUGUAAUCUUUAUGGAAGCUGACUACUACAUCUUCCAUGGGAUGGCCGGUGAAUUCAAAUCGUCAACAUUGUGGUUAGCAGCUGAGGUGCUUAGCCACUGUGCCACUAAUAAUUACCUUAGUGAAUGGAUAUAUUAUUUAGAGAGAGUUAGCCUAUCAGCUUUGCAGAGUGCUUUACAAAACCUGAUACUUACAAAUGGUAAUCAAUCAAUCAUUAUAGUCCUUUUUGGUAAAUUCUAUAAAAGAGGAAUGCUCUGUGUGCCAGGAUAAUGGUAGAGGAACAUGCAUAUCAUAUGGUGGGAUCUAGGAUGGCUUUCUGAAA
Loxodonta africana (African savanna elephant) is the source of this 32120-nucleotide long non-coding RNA. RefSeq lists it as uncharacterized. NCBI's taxonomy places the organism in Eukaryota, Metazoa, Chordata, Mammalia, Proboscidea, Elephantidae. The record is from RefSeq and is a predicted model, not a curated record. The transcript is spliced from 2 exons.